AUCAACCCUCUCAUGCUAGAGUCAUCUAAAAAUUCUUUUUUCCCCUUCAAUCAGCAAGAGCCUGAAAACACUAGGCAUGCAAGAACCUGUGAUCUCAUGCAAGAAUGAUUUAUUUAUUUAUUUUUUUGUCUUGACUAAAUGAUCAGCAGUUGUAUUUUCUAUUUUUAUCUGUUAGGUAAAUGAAAAGAAUGAAUAUCUGUUCACUGAGACUCCCCUGUUAAAUUGUUCGGAAGUUCAAGAAUUUCUUUUCUGUUCCUAAGAGUAAAACUGAAAUGCUUGGGACCAUAAUACAUGUUCCUUUUGCUAUUAUUUGAUGCCUGAUAUGAUGGCAGGAACUGGUAUAAAGUGUGUUCUUAUCCUUUGAGAAUAAGUUCUUUUCAUAAUUUGAAUAUAAAAGGAAGAGCCAUGAGCCAAACAAACAUCAAGCCUCCUAGCAUAUUAAGGUCUGUAGCAAAAAUGUCAUUCGGGAGCCACCACCACCACCACCACCAGCACCACCACCACCCACAGCAAAGCCAUGUGGAGUUCCAUGAGGCAAGGAUCUCCUCAGGGGGAGACUACUACGCCUAUGUCUCUUCGUUGGAGAAGGCUACGUCUGAAAGACCUCUCCUCACAAACACUCACCAAGUAUACAAGCACAAAGAGGCCUGUGAAGUAGAGGAUAGUUUCCGACCAGCCACCUAUCGUGUGUCUGAGACCACCUAUGAGGAGAAUGUCGACAUGGAAUCUGGAGACUACAUCAAGCGCAAACACCUUAUGAUGAUCAAUUCGGCCUGAAAGUACUCCGUAUAGUUACUAAGAAAUGGAUGUCAGAGAUUGGCAUCUUCAUAAAUAAAAUUCUGGCUCUUCUGUACUGUGGGUGAGCCAUCUGGAUACUGCUUUAUGUAUGAUCCUCUAGUUUUCAGUAAGUAAUUCUUACAUAUAAAUCUACAAGAAAACACACAAAGAUCUUGUCUCUUUUUUCUUUGGCACACAGAAUGUCAACAGUGGAGAACUGGAGAUCAUAUUGCAUGAAUGAAUUAGAAGAAAUCACAAUCUUGUUUGUGAGUGCAAGCAUCCCGGCCGACAUUAGAAUAGGUGGAUCAAUUUUAGGGAAGGUUGAUUUGUAAGCUUACCAUUGUAAUUUUCUGACUAAAAAGUUCAUAAAGUUUAAAUACUCACUGUCCACAUUAUUAGAUAUUCUCUUCUCUACAUAUGAACCGUAACUUCAGUUAUUCUUGAUCUCUAUAUUUCUACACUUUCAUUUCUGUUUUCCCUUUUUCCUUCUUUGUAUAUACAUUUCCCAGAAUUAUGGUAGUUGUAUUUGGUUGUUUCAAAUCAUGCUAUUUGUUAACCAGAACUAUUUCAAAAAGCUAGAAAUACAACAACACUGUUUUUCUUAAGAAGAUUGAUCGAUAGCAGGAAAACUAUAUCCCUAGAUAAUUUCUCUUUUGAUGUUGAUGUCAGACUAAAGUUAGCAGAAAAGAACAUCCUGACAAACUUUCGUUUGUAUCACCUAGAUACACUGAUAAAGAAAGGUGUCUACUACACCGCAUGGUAGCUUGUUUUGUACGUGCCAUUCACAAAGCCAUAAGUUUGAACUUAUUAAUCUUUAGUCAUGACUCAUUCGGGAAAAGUCAUUUCAUUAAUUAUUUGUUGAUCAUGAAGUAGUUUGAGGAUGGAAAAAUAUUUGAAGAAUCAUUCAACUAAAUUUUGUGAUUUAAUUGUUGUCUUUUUAAUAGUAUUUCACAUGUAGGGAUAAGAUUGCUUAUAUUGGACCCUUAUAUUUGGCAUUGAUGGGAGGCUCGUAGAGGGAGAGCUUACUUUUUAAUGUUUCUAGUAGAGCGCAUCAAAUUCUGUUAUUUAAGUCCAUUUGUUGGUGGUAUAAAUGUGGAACAUCUUUCACUUGUCUACUGGAGCUCAGUUCAGUGGAAUUGUAGAUAGAUUUCUCAGACAUCAGUUCAGUGGAGAAAGAAUAAAGGUAUGGCUGAUGCCUAAAAAAGGUGGGUGUGGAUUCUCUUCAUGUGGUGGAGGUUCCUCUUUUAAAUUAAUUGUCCUGGUUUGAUGUGGUUGAUGUCUCAUCAGUGAAGGUUGAUGCCCAUCAGAUGUGAUGGUUUUUCGGCACCAGCAGAAGCAUCCCACAUGGACAGGAUAUUUUUGCAACUCUUGUUAUCUUAUUACAGGAAGAAGCUUGAACUUCGAGGAUACAGAAAUUCGAUCAACUGGGCUGAUAUUAUCAUGCCUAAAAAUUUUUGGCUAUAAAUUUUCCAUGUAUUUGAAGUUCCAGUAACAACUAAUCUUCUAUUUUAUGAUCUUAUAUGCUUUCUUGGAUCCUUGGAUGCUGCUUAAUAGUAGAUUUGUUUCCUUGAAUGUCUCUUCUAUGAAUUUAUAUGGUCUGUUGGAUUGUUGGAUGCUGCUUACUAGUAGAAAAUUUUCUUUUUUCUGUUAUCUCUCUUAGUUAUAUGGUGUGUUAGAUCUUUGGAUGCUGCCAAGUAGUAGAAAUGUUUCCUUGGAUGUCUCUUCUGUGAAUCACAUGCUAUGAUGGAUCCCUUUAUGUGCUUUAGUAGAAAUGUUCUUUGAUUAUAAUUCUGUGAACUUAUAUGGUGUGUUGUGGAUCUUGUGAUGAUGUAAAUGACUAGAAUGUGUUGCAGAUCUUACAUAUAGUGAAGGCAGGAACAAUGACAUUGUGGAUGAUUUACAUAUAGUGAAGGCAGGAACAAUGACAGUGAAGGCAGGAACGUUUCCAACUCAUGACACGCACACUAAUAUCGAGCUUCUUGAUGACAAGAGGUGCACUAAUGGCGAAGAAGGUUCUCUUGCAGGCCGUGCUGCUCGCAUAGUCCCAUCUUGUUCGGCGACAAGGAUGUGACGUUGGAAGGGAGCUGUAUGAGUGGUGGCGUGGCUACCACAUGGUGCGGCGAGACGUGAGGAACACCGAUCCCGUCAUCGCUCUUGCUGUUUGUAGUGGCGCUUUCAGGAGUCGAGUCAGUCGUGCUAACGAGGACUAGCAAUGGAAACCCAUUGUAAAGUGUGACUCGAUUUUAGAGGUCUCUAACUUGGAGUUUCUUUGGGAGAUCUAUCAUGUAUGAGCUGCUGCCUGCUCGAUCGAGUGGUGGGACUUUAUUUCCCCUUUAUCUUUUUUUUGUGUGUUUGUUUUAAAGGCUCUCAACUUCUAGAAGUUCUCUCUCACUCAUAUAACAUCAAAUUCAUGACGCUAAAAUGUGAAAGAUUUCAUAUUACCCUAAUAUUAAUUGUUGGAAGAGGAGAUAUUUUUUA
Musa acuminata AAA Group (dessert banana) is the source of this 3255-nucleotide long non-coding RNA. RefSeq lists it as uncharacterized. Lineage: Eukaryota; Viridiplantae; Streptophyta; Magnoliopsida; Zingiberales; Musaceae. The transcript is spliced from 2 exons. The record is from RefSeq and is a predicted model, not a curated record.